Small nucleolar RNA from Gossypium raimondii (Peruvian cotton), 107 nucleotides. It matches the Rfam family "Plant small nucleolar RNA R71". Rfam says of the family: R71 is a member of the C/D box family of snoRNAs containing the C (UGAUGA) and D (CUGA) box motifs. Multiple nearly identical copies of this snoRNA have been identified in Arabidopsis, and it is thought to function as a 2'-O-ribose methylation guide for 18S ribosomal RNA. Lineage: Eukaryota; Viridiplantae; Streptophyta; Magnoliopsida; Malvales; Malvaceae. The record is from Rfam.
AACUCAUGAUGAGGGCACCUUCUCAACAUAUCCUUAAAUCUCUUCAAUGCAUCAUACAAUGUCCCCAACUCAGUUUGAGCAAAGGAAGAGAUGUCGUUCCUCAACUU